This 1446-nucleotide small RNA is filed under the name uncultured Pseudolabrys sp. RNAcentral's name for it is "bacterial SSU rRNA". The stretch from base 1 to 486 matches the Rfam family "Bacterial small subunit ribosomal RNA", at positions 1045 to 1533 of the family's 1533-position model. The record is from RNAcentral. Lineage: Bacteria; Pseudomonadati; Pseudomonadota; Alphaproteobacteria; Hyphomicrobiales; Xanthobacteraceae.
AUGGCUGUCGUCAGCUCGUGUCGUGAGAUGUUGGGUUAAGUCCCGCAACGAGCGCAACCCUCGGCCUUAGUUGCCAUCAUUUAGUUGGGCACUCUAAGGCGACUGCCGGUGAUAAGCCGGAGGAAGGUGGGGAUGACGUCAAGUCCUCAUGGCCCUUACAGGUUGGGCUACACACGUGCUACAAUGGCGGUGACAGAGGGACGCAAAAGGGCAACCUUUCGCAAAUCUCAAAAAACCGUCUCAGUUCGGAUUGGGGUCUGCAACUCGACCCCAUGAAGUUGGAAUCGCUAGUAAUCGCAGAUCAGCACGCCGCGGUGAAUACGUUCCCGGGCCUUGUACACACCGCCCGUCACACCAUGGGAGUUGGCUUUACCUGAAGACGGUGCGCUAACCGCAAGGAAGCAGCCGGCCACGGUAGGGUCAGCGACUGGGGUGAAGUCGUAACAAGGUAGCCGUAGGGGAACCUGCGGCUGGAUCACCUCCUUUCUAAGGAAGAUCCUUCAGAAGCACGCAUCCGCGUGCCGCUAUCGGAUCUCUUGGAAACAUCAGGGUAUGUCAGUUUCAGGAUUGGCAUGCCUAUUUGCGGGACUUCGCCGUCUACGUUUCUCUUUCUUCUCGGACGAGCCCACGCUAUCCAUAGGUCGUUGGAGCAUCCAUUGCCCGCCGUCCUUAAGACAGCGCGGGUCGAGCGUGUGCUCUGGGCCUGUAGCUCAGUUGGUUAGAGCGCGCGCUUGAUAAGCGUGAGGUCGGAAGUUCAAAUCUUCCCAGGCCCACCAAUCCCGCUUUUGCUGGGUACCCAAGAUUCUUCGCUAACUGGCGCGGGGCCAUAGCUCAGUUGGGAGAGCGCCUGCUUUGCAAGCAGGAGGUCGUCGGUUCGAUCCCGUCUGGCUCCACCAGCGGUGAUCCCUAUCGGCCUCGCUCAAAGAUAUCGUCCGUGAAAAUGAAUUCGCGUGAACGCGACUAAGCCCUUCCAUGGGUGCAAUUGCGUCGCGCGUGUUGUCUGACAUCGUGAAGAGGAGAUCGUUCCGAGCGAACGUGAGCGGCUAAAGGCCGUGACGUUCGCGCGCUCCUAAUGACGUGUUCGACUGCGUCCAUAAUCCACCGGCCAAUGUCGCGCAUGUUCAUGUCGGCGAAGCUUGACCGCCUCGCCGUCGGUUCGAUCUUGAAGCAAGAAUAGAGGUCUUUCUAAAUCAGUGUUCGAUCGGUGCGAAUGCAAAUUCGUAUCCGGCCAUCGGCCGUUACAUAUCUUGUUGCGGGAAUUCGCCGAGAAUUCCAACAACGAACGGGCGAUGGAUGGGCAUUGAUAAUGAGAGUAAUCAAGUGUGAUAAGGGCAUUUGGUGGAUGCCUUGGCGCUGAGAGGCGAUGAAGGACGUACUACGCUGCGAUAAGCCGCGAGGAGCUGCGAAGAAGCUUUGAUCCGCGGAUUUCCGAAUGGGGAAACCCGG